Molecule: long non-coding RNA, 498 nt
Filed under: Salvia miltiorrhiza (redroot sage)
Lineage: Eukaryota; Viridiplantae; Streptophyta; Magnoliopsida; Lamiales; Lamiaceae
Description: long non-coding RNA (SMIL_LNC008479)
Source: RNAcentral
UAAUUAAAUAUAAUUAGGAUUAAUAAUGAGGGCUUAAAUUAAUAGUUCUUAUUGGGCUUAACUAAAUAAAUCUCAUUGGACUUAAUCAACUAAAUAGUAAGAGCCCAAUUAAUAAAAAUAAUAAGAGCCCAAAUGAAAGCCCAAAACUAAACUAAUAAGCUUCAGCCGAAAAUUGGCCCAACAAAACAAGUCAGGCCCAAAAAAAAAAAAAGCCCAAACGCUCUCUUUUCUCCCCCAACUCACGAUUUCCCUUCUUUUCAAAAUCAGAAACACUUCUCUCUCUCUUCCUCUCUCUCGCUCCGCCUUCGUCGAGGCUUCUGCUGCCGCCGCGGUCUCCUGCAGUCCGGCGACCUGCUGCCGGCGUGGCCGGCGUUCACCUGCCUCCUCAGACCUCCCCCUCUCUCGAUUUGCCUCUCAAUCGAAAUCCCCAAAUGAAGAAUGGAGUAAAAGCCCUAGCGUUCCAAAAAUCAGAAAUCGCCUCUCUCUGUUCGACGCCGC